UACAAUGUUUAACUCUCCAUCUUAUUAAAAAAUUUAUGAUUAAUAAUUUUAUUUUUAUUAAAUGAUAAAACACGAAUAGUAUUUUAUGUGUGACUAAUUUUUUAAGUUUUUUUAAAAUUUUUUCAAAUAAGACGGAAGGUCAAAUGCUUGACAAAAAACCAAAAGGUUG
RNAcentral lists this microRNA precursor (169 nucleotides) under Oryza brachyantha (malo sina). Its description in RNAcentral is "MIR812 microRNA precursor family". It matches the Rfam family "MIR812 microRNA precursor family", at positions 27 to 197 of the family's 205-position model. The record is from Rfam by way of RNAcentral. Lineage: Eukaryota; Viridiplantae; Streptophyta; Magnoliopsida; Poales; Poaceae.